Rattus norvegicus (Norway rat) is the source of this 4832-nucleotide non-coding RNA. NCBI's taxonomy places the organism in Eukaryota, Metazoa, Chordata, Mammalia, Rodentia, Muridae. The record is from RefSeq and is a predicted model, not a curated record.
AGGGAAGGCCGGCAGACUUCUAGCCCCCUGCCUGGUGUGUAAAGCCCAGCCUCAUACCAGAACAUGGGAGGUGUUCAGCUCAGCAUCUAGAGGCCAUGGUGGGAUCAAGGCUCAGGACCUGUGUUUGGACUCAGCAUGUGUGCUCCUGGUGUCUCUGCUUUCCUGCUCAGGGCGGCAACGCCCCGGCUUCACGGUGACAGCAGAUCUGCAUCAGAACUGAACUCAGCCGUGAGGAAGAGUAAUCACCUACACACAGUACACGCUGCAGGCUCAAAGCCUGCCACGCAGGGGGAUAGCGAGACGGUCAGUGCAACCAGCCCAGGGGACUGAGCCUGGUGCCCAGAACCCACAGAAAUGUGGAUGACGAAGGCUGACUCCACAAAGCGGUCCUCUGACUUCUGCACAUGUGCCACGGUACACGCGUGCAUCACACACAUACAUACUAACAGUUAAUAAAGAUCAAGAGGAAUCUUGAAAACUCUGCAGCGUGAGAGGAGCCGGAUGGGCACGAGAUCACCUGAGAAGACUCCAGAUGGCAUUUCUGGAGGAGACCAUAUCUGUAGUUUUUAGACCUGAUACAGAAAAACGAAAUCGAAUUUGAAGACUUUGAGCUUCAACAUCCAGAAAGCGGCAUUCUUUAAAAAGAUCAUAAAAAUACAUGCCCACCAGAAAAAAAAAAGCCUGGGAAACAGACUCUGGAAGAAGACAGAAGCCUGGCCUGACCCCACGCAGUGCGACAGCAGUGGCUACAGCAUAGAAAUGCAGGAUCAUGUUGAUGCGUCAACAGAAGCCACUGGGCACCUCACGCCCGCUGGGGGUGGCGCCUCUCUUUGUCACAAACAGUUGGGUUGGCUUGCAUUCCCUGGGAAACCUGUCUUAUCCUGGCCCGAAGUCCUUGCAAGUCUUGAGUUGAGCAGCAGCAGCCUCUGUCCUGCCAUAGAGAAGAGUGUUUGGAAGCCAUGCUGGCCAGAGUGUAACCAGAGCCCUCAAAGGGCUCCAUCUCCUAAGCCCAGCUUUAUGCUGACCACCGCAUUACCUGGGGUGGAUGGGAGCAUGGUUGUCUAGGGGCUGAGGACUCCUUGCUGAUCCCAUGCCCAAGCACCUGAUUGGUCUUAAUGACACAAAGUUAGUAAGACUAUGGGCUGUGACCGUCCUUUUCCUGCAGGAAUAAAACAAACAAACAAACAAACAAACAAACAAACAAACACAACAAUAAAAACCUAAGGUGCAGAGGUCAGUCACACUUAGGAAACGGCAACUCUGUGUUCUCUGCCUCUCUCUCUCUCUCUCUCUCUCUCUCUCUCUCUCUCUCUUACUGUGUCAUUUUAUAUGUAUAGAUGUCUUGCCUGCAUGAAUGUCCGUGUAUCUUGUGCAUGCCUGGUGCCCAGAAAGGCCAGAAGAGGGAGUGGGAUUCCCUAGAACUGGAGUUACAGCCGGUUGUGAGCUGCCAUGCAGGUGCUGGGGAUCAAAUCCAGGUCCUCUAGAAGAGCAGCCAGGGCUCCUAACUGCUGAACCAUUGUUUCAGCCACUUGCUUAUUUUUUUCUGAAAAAAAAAAAAGAGUGAUAUAAAUAUACAUAUACAUCAUAUACAUCAUACUCAUAUACAUACACAUUAUACAUAUGCAUCAUCACAUACACAUACACAUAUACAUACAUAUACAUCAUAUACAUCUACAUUACAUAUAUUACAUAUACAUUACAUAUACAUACACAUUAUACAUAUGCAUCAUCACAUACACAUACACACAUCAUAUACAUAUACAUUACAUAUGCAUUACAAUACAUAUACAUACACAUUAUACAUAUGCAUCAUCACAUACAAUAUAAAUACAUCAUAUAUAUACAUUACAUAUACAUUUCAUAUACAUAACACACAUUAUACAUAUGCAUCAUCCAUACACACAUAUAUACAUCAUAUACAUAUAUACAUAUAUAUUACACAUAUAUUACACAUACAUUACAUAUACAUAUACAUACACAUUAUACAUAUGCUUUAUCACAUACACAUACGUAUACAUAUACAUCAUAUACAUAUAUACAUAUACAUUCAUGUAUAUUACAUUUACAUUACAUAUACAUACACAUUAUACAUAUGCAUCAUCACAUACACAUACACACAUAUACAUCAUAUACAUACACACACAUACAUCUACAUUACAUAUAUAUUACAUAUACAUUACAUACACAUUAUACAUAUGCAUCAUCACAUACACAUACACACAUACAUAUACAUCAUAUACAUUCACAUAAACAUACACAUACAUAUACAUUCACAUACUGUGGCAGUCUCUCGCUUGACAUGUGGGAUUCUGGGUUCUCUGUCCUCAAAAUUGCGAAGCCUUCACAGCCCUAGAGUGUUUCUGGAAAACUUGAACUAAAGAGUUCUCAUCCAUCUCUCCUAGGCAAAUGUGAUGUCCAAGACUCCAUGGGUUUGCCCGUCCUGGACACUUCUCAGAAAGGGAAUAACAUGUGUGGCUUUUGUGCCUGGUCAGGUACCAAGGGCCGCGUUGGAGGCUUCUUCUGUAGCAGUGCCUGGCAGGACACCCUUCCUCUUCACAGGUGGCGAACAUCGCAGAGCAUCAUGGACCUGCCUCUGGCCAGUUGCUGGGAACAGCACCUUCAUGAAGACAGGGUCUUGCUACCACCCAGGUUGGCCUGUUACAAGAGUCAUCAACUACAACUGAUCCCAAGAACGGUCUCAUCUUGGAAUCCAGGCUUGCCUCAAACUCAUGGCGAUCCUCCUGCCUCAGCCUCUUGAGUACUGGGAUCAAAGGCACUACACUCUCAGGGGUGGAUCACUCUUGCCCAGCUAGAGGACUUUUAAUGACGAAGUUCCCAGUCCUGACUGCUCACCAGAUCACAUCGGAGGCAAAGACUAGAUUCCCAGGCUCCCUCAGCCUGGGCUGGCUGGAUCUUCUAUUGUCCAUGUACCAUGUGCAGGUUAAGCCCAACUCCUGAGCGUGUGAAGGUCAAGGCCAUGUCACAUCCGGAAGACAGCAUUCAUGUCCCUCCCUCUUACAUUCUUUCUGCAUCUUCUCCAGUGACAGUCCCUAAGUCUUGAAGGGGUCAACAGAGAGUCCCAUUGGGGGCCAAGCACUGAAUAGCCAAUGUUCUCACCAGUUCUGUGGACAGGUUUGUCUACUCUGGACAGACAGAAGUCCCCGUGGCCAAGACCGAGAGCAGCAUUGACCUCUGGGUAGAAAUUGCCAGAAGAUGCAGGUCACUAGAGGAUAAAACCGGUUUCAUCCAGCUGUGAACCCUACAAGCUACCAUUAUUUAUGGAUGUGCUACCAGCAAGAUGUGCCCAUUGAUCCUCCAGUGCCGUGGCUGCUGUGGGGGCCUUCUGCUUGUCACAGUGUCUGAACUUACAGAUUGGAUUCUGCUCUUUCUUGUUGCUGUGUGAGUUCCCUUCUGGGGACACAGCUCAGCCAGCAUGCAUUGCCCCCUUGUUGAGGCAUGUCCGGAUUGUUUUAUGAUUUGAAUUUGGCGUGAAGCGUCUGCAGCUUGCUUAGAUCACGGCGUGCAGCUGCCUUGCUCUUUGCACAGUAUGCGAAUGGGCCCCCCAAGGUGGCCAUAGCUGUAACAUUCCCACUUCAUGAGGAAUUAGAGGCCCGCAAACUGUUCUGCUAAGAAACCUCAUCUUAAGUCCCAGAGCUAGGAGUAGGGUUGGGGCUCAAACCAAAGCUACUGACUCAGAUCCAAGAGCUUGGUGCCUAACAGGAAGUGGCCCGUCCUGGCAGGAGCUGCAGAUGUAGAAGCCCCUGGGUAGUAAGACAUGAGAGGUUUGUCUGCAAAGGGGUCUCUCUUCUUCUCUUUCUUGGCAGACAGCAUCCAUCUUGUUUGCGAAGGGUUUCCACACUUGCCACCUGCUCUGUCUCCUGCUCCAGUUGUGCACUCGUGGCCACUGGGAGCUCUGACAGCCGUGCCAGUGCCCCAUGGAUACGCAGGGUGUCUCUGGGGGUUGUCAAGAAAUCUGUAAACCUACAAGAGACAGCUCUAAGUGUUUAACACGGUGCUCACUGCUGCCAUGAGUGGGGUGUGCGAACAUCAGGAACCCCACUAUGCCAAGCCAGGAGGUCCACGGGGCUGUGGGGCAGCCAGCCUGCUGACCAGAGCCAACUGACAGUCGAGCACAGGCCAGGGCAAGACAGCGUCUCCACCCACCCAGAGGUCUGAGGGCCCUCAAGCUCCCGGGAGGACGGAGAUGACUAGGCAGAGCCCUAGCCGAGUCCCAGGGGUAUCAGUCAGCUUUGGUGUUUCCUGGUGUCCAACUGAGGUCCCUUAUCUGAGGCCCUGGGGCCGGAUCUGUUUCACAAUUUGGAACCUGUCAGACGUGAGAGCAGUAAAUCUGGGUAGAAACAGCUUACGCUGUGUACUGUUAAAGUGCCCCGGGGCUGAGCCACUUCUGCCAGACACUACAGAGGAUGUGCAACAAUAUGUAAUUAGAAAGUUACUCCGAACAACUUCACUCUCCAUUCAGAGCAAAUCUCCUUAUCAAUAAUAUCUCUACCCAUUUAUUGUAUUUGUACAAAACAUGCAUUUUGUUACCAGUAGACACUUUGACGUAUUCUAUGUGACAAUCCACUUAAUGUAACCAUUACAUUUAUCAUAGCAUGAUGUGUUGCUUGGGCAUGGUGUCUGACACCUGUCAUCUCAGCACCCAGGAAGCUGAGGCAGGGGGAUCACUGUGAGUUUGAGGCAGUUUAGGCCUUGGAGACAGUUAAGAUUCUGUCUCAAAAAUUAAUUUAUAUUUAAAAGAAAGGGGGAGGGAGAGGCUGGUAAGACGGCUGGGGGUUUAAGGGCAUAUAUUGCUUUUGCACACACAUACACAC